CCCCCCCCCCCAAUCUCAUUCUCCUCCCUCUUCUUCCGUUUUUCCUUCUUCCACUCCUCCUGUAUUUAUUUCCUCCUCUCCCUCUCCUCCUCUUUUAUCGUACACCUCAUUCUUCCCUAUUGUUUCUCUUCAUCUCUUUCUUCCUCAUUAUCAUUAUCAUCAUUAGUGUAUUGCACCUAAAGUCUCGCUAUGCACUGAAUUGCGAACCAACUUCACGAAAACUGUACUUGCAAACCUCUGCAACAUGGUGCAAUGAUCACGUGAUGCAGAGGAGUCUCCAGUAGGCCUAAGGAAAUCAGGCCUAGUCGUGGACUCCGCUCUGGACGAAACUGUCACUUGAACCACGGUCACGUCCGGGAAGAACCAGAGCCUGCGAACCCCCGGCAGGAGAGGUGUACCGCAGGAGGUGGAGAGAGGGUUUAGGGGAUUCCCCGCAGCGCCAGGAGAACCGGUUCUGAGAAACACGAUCCUGUGGACAACCCGAACCGAUUUGUGGAACCAAGGCUUGUAGACCAAACGGAACCGAUUCGUAGAAAUAGGGUUUUUAUAUCCAUCACAAUCGAUUUUUUGGAACCAGGAACUGUGGUCCAACCAGAACCGAUUUGUGGAACAAAGGAUUAUGGACCAACCAGAUCUGAUUCUGUGGAACCAGGGUUUGCAUGUCAACCAGAACCGACUUACUGGCUCAGAUUUAUAAGGCGAAGAGAACCGAUUUCAAGAAACCAGGCGCCCAAAUACUCCACUUUAUACCAAGGGAACCAUUCUUGCUGAACCGCUAUUUAUGGAACUAGGCUUGAGAAAACAGGCGAGAACCAAAAUGAAAACCGAUUUUCUAGAAUCUUCUGAACCACUCUGGACCCCCUACCCCCCUACCACCCUACACUCCCUUAUUCCCCCCCCCCCCUCAAAAAAGGAAGAAAUAAGUGUCCUGUAGCUUGAAAAAUGAAUAUAUAAAUUUAAAAAUAAAUAAUUACAAAGUGCAGUUCAAAUGUGAUUGCUCCUAGAACUUGGAUUAUAAAACUGCAAAGGGUAAUAUGAUAAAAAGUUGAAAUACAAUAAACAAGAAAAUAUACAAAAAAAGAAAAAAGAAAAUACCCACAUUUUAUGCAAAGGGCGACUCAUUUUGCUUUUGACAUGUGCCUCACCUAUUUAAUCAAAUAUAUAUUUCCAUAUAUAUAUUCUCUAUGUAAUUAGAUGUAAAAUAUUUGUAAGAUAUCUAACUCAAUUAUUUAUUUUUACAGAUUAAAUUUAAAGUAUUUCUAAUGAUAAUCCCUAUAGAUUUAAUAUUUACAUAAUUGUAAAUAUAAUCUUAGAUAAGAAAGAAAUCAUCCUGCAAAGCCGUAUAAAAAGAGACAAAAAGAAAAGAA
This is a non-coding RNA of Penaeus vannamei (Pacific white shrimp), 1367 nucleotides long. The record is from RefSeq and is a predicted model, not a curated record. NCBI's taxonomy places the organism in Eukaryota, Metazoa, Arthropoda, Malacostraca, Decapoda, Penaeidae.